ACCAGACUCCUACGGGAGGCAGCAGUGGGGAAUAUUGCACAAUGGGGGAAACCCUGAUGCAGCGACGCCGCGUGAGUGAAGAAGUAUUUCGGUAUGUAAAGCUCUAUCAGCAGGGAAGAAAAUGACGGUACCUGAUUAAGAAGCCCCGGCUAACUACGUGCCAGCAGCCGCGGUAAUACGUAGGGGGCAAGCGUUAUCCGGAUUUACUGGGUGUAAAGGGAGCGUAGACGGUGAUGUAAGUCAGAAGUGAAAGCCCGGGGCUCAACUCCGGGACUGCUUUUGAAACUGUGUGACUGGAGUGCAGGAGAGGUAAGCGGAAUUCCUGGUGUAGCGGUGAAAUGCGUAGAUAUCAGGAGGAACACCAGUGGCGAAGGCGGCUUACUGGACUGUAACUGACGUUGAGGCUCGAAAGCGUGGGGAGCAAACAGGAUUAGAUACCCGCGUA
Molecule: ribosomal RNA, 445 nt
Filed under: uncultured bacterium
Lineage: Bacteria
Description: bacterial SSU rRNA
Rfam family: Bacterial small subunit ribosomal RNA
Source: RNAcentral